Molecule: ribosomal RNA, 488 nt
Filed under: uncultured bacterium
Lineage: Bacteria
Description: bacterial SSU rRNA
Rfam family: Bacterial small subunit ribosomal RNA
Source: RNAcentral
GAUGAACGCUAGCGGCAGGCCUAACACAUGCAAGUCGAGGGGCAUCAUGGCGUAGCAAUACGCUGAUGGCGACCGGCGCACGGGUGCGUAACGCGUAUGGAACCUACCCACCGCAGGGGGAUAACCCGCCGAAAGGCGGACUAAUACCCCAUGGUUCCCCGACCCUGCCUGGGGUUGGGGGUAAAGCCUACGGGCGGCGGUGGAUGGCCCUGCGUGCCAUUAGCUGGCUGGUGGGGUAACGGCCCACCAGGGCGACGAUGGCUAGGGGGUCUGAGAGGACGAUCCCCCACACUGGUACUGAGACACGGACCAGACUCCUACGGGAGGCAGCAGUGAGGAAUAUUGGUCAAUGGGCGGAAGCCUGAACCAGCCAUGCCGCGUGCAGGAUGACGGCCCUACGGGUUGUAAACUGCUUUAGCCGGGAAUAAACACCCGUUUUAUAACCGGGCCCGAAGGUACCGGCUGAAUAAGCAUCGGCUAACUCCGUG